CCCAAGGCAGAGGGUGGAGGGGCAGGGAGGACAAUCUAGAGCAAGUGACAUCUCAAGUGGCCUGAACGAUGGCAGGAGCCAGCUAAAUCAAGGGACACUAAAAGGAGAAAGUGUCACACCUUCAAGAAACUAAAAACCACUCAAUGAAAGGGAAGGAUGAGCUGUGUGAGGUCGGAGCGGCAAGGCAAGCAGAGGCUGGAUCCAACUGGCUUGACUCUGGACCUUAAGACACAGGCCUCAGCACCUGCUGUUCCUGUGCCACUGUGCAAAUAGGAAGCCUUCCAGGGCACCAGGCUGCCAAUGUCCUGAUGCAAAAGAUGGAACUGGGAUAAAGCUGAUCUUGGGAACCCUGGACCACCAUGUGAAAAAGCUAAACUUUGGGCUAGCCUAUUGGAGGGUUAGAGACCAAAUGGAAUAGAGAUAAGCUUCUCAACCAAGGCCUCCUAAAUCAAUCAUCCAGCCAAGCACCAGACAUAUUAGUGCCAUUACGUGAGGUCAUCUGGACCCCAGCCAAGCUGCCACUUGACUGAGCUCAGACCAGGUAAACCACCCACAGCUGGCAGAAAAUUAUAUGAAAUAAUAUAUGUUUAUGUUUCAAGCCACUAAGUUUUGAAGUGUUUUUUUAUGCAGCAAAAGCUAACUGUACACAAGAAUUUUCUGGAA
Homo sapiens (human) is the source of this 663-nucleotide long non-coding RNA. RefSeq lists it as uncharacterized. The transcript has 3 exons. The record is from RefSeq and is a predicted model, not a curated record. Lineage: Eukaryota; Metazoa; Chordata; Mammalia; Primates; Hominidae.